Molecule: ribosomal RNA, 547 nt
Filed under: uncultured bacterium
Lineage: Bacteria
Description: bacterial SSU rRNA
Rfam family: Bacterial small subunit ribosomal RNA
Source: RNAcentral
AGUUUGAUUCCUUGGCUCAGGACGAACGCUUGGCGGCGUGCCGUUAACCACAUGCAAGUCGAACGGGCGAUUUGAAAGCCUUGCCUUUUGAUUGAGCCUAGUGGCAAAACGGGUGAGUAACGCGUAGGCAACCUGCCCUCAGGAUGGGGACAACGGCCCGAAAAGGACCGCUAAUACCGAAUGACGUAUCGGGAUCGCAUGAUACUGAUACCAAAAGGCGGAGCAAUCCGGUCACCUGAGGAUGGGGCCUGCGUCUGAUUAGGUAGUUGGUGAGGUAACGGCCCACCAAGCCGACGAUCAGUAGCCGGUCUGAGAGGAUGAACGGCCACAUUGGGACUGAGACACGGCCCAGACUCCUACGGGAGGCAGCAGUGGGGAAUCUUCCGCAAUGGGCGAAAGCCUGACGGAGCAACGCCGCGUGAGUGAAGAAGGUCUUCGGAUCGUAAAGCUCUGUUGUCGGGGACGAAGGGGCAGAUCAGGAAAUGGGUCUGCUUAGACGGUACCUGACGAGGAAGCCACGGCUAACUACGUGCCAGCAGCCGCGGUA